UCCACCUCUGCUUGAAGAUCGUGUGAAACCCUAUUAUCAGUUUUGUCAGCAGGAAAUCGGAAAAAAAAAGCUUAAAUCACAUAUAGAUACUAGAUUAGUAACCCAUAUAACCUAAUAUUAGCGGCAGUCUUAACUUCAAAAUUUUAGUUUUCCUCUUAUCUAUCUUAAACCGCAUAACCAGUUCACCCUAAAACCGCAUAUGAGACCUAAUUUCUGAUGCUCGUUUGUGGUUCUCGCCAUAAGGGUGAAGUGAUAGAUGUUUCAUUAUCAAAUUAACUCACCAUCAUAUCCGAUUUGAACUAGGGGUUAACAGCUCUCAUCCAACCAUCUUCUUGGUUCGUAUUAACAAAUUUCGGCAACAUCUCUGUUUUGCAGGUUACCAUCAGAUUGGACCUGGAUCUGGUACAAACAAACAUCUUAGAGAGGAUGCAGAAAUUGCUAUGCAAGGAUUCAUCAAUUUUGCUCAAUAUACAUCUAGUAUACAUCUGUAAGUUGCUAGCUGUUAAUAUUUUUAUUUGUAACCAGGUCAUCCAACUACUAGUUUUUUUAGUUUUAGCCUUUAAGUUUGAUUCUUCAAGUUCUUAAGCACACAAAUUCUAUUGAGCAUAAAAAUAUGUGAGAUAUACCUGGCAGAAUGGGUGGGUCAGGUUGGGCGCAGUGAUGGGUCAGAAUUGGUUCGUGUCAGAACAUGUCUUUUUUAUAAAAAGCUCAUUUUGGUUCGGGUCAGAAUUAGUUUUGAUACCAAUUGAUACAAUUCAGAAUGGGUCAAUUCUAAUCUACAACAUAUUUUAUACUUUCGAUCCCUAUCGUCCCAGCUAACUAUAUUUCCUUUAUGUUCUAAACUUCUUUUAGUUAAGUUUUUUACGUAGUAGCAUAUUUAGGGAAUCACAUUGUAAUGUGAAUGUGAAAUCUUAGCAGCGCAGGUUUUUGAUAAAAUGUCAGCGUUUGAACUCACCUAAAAAUUAAGCGCUAAAUCAUUCAAAAUCCAAGAGAAAUCACCAGAAAGAAUUACUAAAAAUUUAGAAGAAGAAUUAAAUAAGCCGUAUAACUAGGGGUCUGCACGGGCGAUGUGGGAACAUCAGCAUGGUAAGGCUUCAGAUCUUUUAAAAAGCACAAGAAAGGGGGACAAUACUCCAUAAAUUUAUGGCCAUUUUACUUUGGGGUAUGAUGACAAGUGGAGUUUUGAGAAGAUGAUCAGAUUGAAUUAACAACUUUACUUGGAUUACUUUGUUAUUUUGAAGUUGGAAAUAUAUGUCAAAGUACAACAUAAGAUAUUUAUUACAUUUAUGUUAUUGUGCUGGUGUAAUUGAGAUACUAUUCCAUAUUAAUAAAAAUUUUAGUACGUCAAA
Molecule: long non-coding RNA, 1349 nt
Organism: Helianthus annuus (common sunflower)
Lineage: Eukaryota; Viridiplantae; Streptophyta; Magnoliopsida; Asterales; Asteraceae
Exons: 3
Source: RefSeq, a predicted model, not a curated record